CAGUCGAGCGGAUGAAGGGAGCUUGCUCCUGGAUUCAGCGGCGGACGGGUGAGUAAUGCCUAGGAAUCUGCCUGGUAGUGGGGGAUAACGUCCGGAAACGGGCGCUAAUACCGCAUACGUCCUGAGGGAGAAAGUGGGGGAUCUUCGGACCUCACGCUAUCAGAUGAGCCUAGGUCGGAUUAGCUAGUUGGUGGGGUAAAGGCCUACCAAGGCGACGAUCCGUAACUGGUCUGAGAGGAUGAUCAGUCACACUGGAACUGAGACACGGUCCAGACUCCUACGGGAGGCAGCAGUGGGGAAUAUUGGACAAUGGGCGAAAGCCUGAUCCAGCCAUGCCGCGUGUGUGAAGAAGGUCUUCGGAUUGUAAAGCACUUUAAGUUGGGAGGAAGGGCAGUAAGUUAAUACCUUGCUGUUUUGACGUUACCAACAGAAUAAGCACCGGCUAACUUCGUGCCAGCAG
RNAcentral lists this ribosomal RNA (460 nucleotides) under bacterium 1611-S1-01-1. RNAcentral describes it as "bacterial SSU rRNA". It matches the Rfam family "Bacterial small subunit ribosomal RNA", at positions 59 to 514 of the family's 1533-position model. The record is from RNAcentral.